GCUUGUCUCAAAGAUUAAGCCAUGCAUGUAUAAGUAUAAACGACUUGAUCGUGAAACCGCGAACGGCUCAUUAUAACAGCUAUAAUUUACUUGAUCUUGACAAUUUACUUGGAUAACUGUGGUAAUUCUAGAGCUAAUACAUGCACCAAAGCUCCGACCGUAAGGAAAGAGCGCAUUUAUUAGAACAAAACCAAGCGGCUUCGGCCGUUCAAUGUUGAAUCAUAAUAACUAAGCUGAUCGCAUGGUCUUGUACCGGCGACGUGUCUUUCAAGUAUCUGCCUUAUCAACUUUCGAUGGUAGUGUAUCUGACUACCAUGGUUGUGACGGGUAACGGAGGAUAAGGGUUCGACUCCGGAGAAGGGGCCUGAGAAAUGGCCACUACGUCUAAGGAUGGCAGCAGGCGCGCAAAUUACCCACUCUCAGAACGAGGAGGUAGUGACGAGAAAUAACAAGACCGUUCUCUUCAGAGGCCGGUCAUUGGAAUGGGUACAAUUUAAACCCUUUAACGAGUAUCUAUGAGAGGGCAAGUCUGGUGCCAGCAGCCGCGGUAAUUCCAGCUCUCAAAAUGCAUAGAAUCAUUGCUGCGGUUAAAAAGCUCGUAGUUGGAUCUGUGCUGGCGGGUCGGUCCACCUUCGGGUGCGCACUGAUUUCGCCGGCUUUUCUGCUGUAUUUGGCCCAGUGCCUUUCAACGGGUGCUGUGUCCAGUGCAGCAAGUUUACCUUGAACAAAUCAGAGUGCUUCAAACAGGCGUUUCGCUUGAAUGUUCGUGCAUGGAAUAAUAGAAGAGGAUUUCGGUUCUAUUUUAUUGGUUUUAUAGACUGAGAUAAUGGUUAACAGAGACUAACGGGGGCAUUAGUAUUGCUACGUGAGAGGUGAAAUUCUUGGACCGUAGCAAGACUGACUACAGCGAAAGCAUUUGCCAAGAAUG
RNAcentral lists this ribosomal RNA (928 nucleotides) under Hirschmanniella mucronata. RNAcentral's name for it is "SSU rRNA". It matches the Rfam family "Eukaryotic small subunit ribosomal RNA", at positions 30 to 966 of the family's 1831-position model. Lineage: Eukaryota; Metazoa; Nematoda; Chromadorea; Rhabditida; Pratylenchidae. The record is from RNAcentral.